Zalophus californianus (California sea lion) is the source of this 3286-nucleotide long non-coding RNA. RefSeq lists it as uncharacterized. The transcript is spliced from 3 exons. NCBI's taxonomy places the organism in Eukaryota, Metazoa, Chordata, Mammalia, Carnivora, Otariidae. The record is from RefSeq and is a predicted model, not a curated record.
UAACGCUGUGCUGAUACAUGAUGAACACGGAAUGAAUGAAUAUUAAACUAAGAUCUGAGGACAAAAUGCUUUUCAAGACCUUCUUUGCUGAUAAAUUAAUUUUCCUUGAUGUGGAUCUCACCUACAGUUUCCUGAUGCUUCCACUGUAUUAAAAAAAAAAAAAAGCUCUUCACAAAGCUUCAAUUCUAGAUAAUAUUAAGAAAAUUGGUAGAAGUUUCUAAAAUUAUGUUCAAAAGAAUUUGAUCUUGAUUAGAAGAUGCAGGUAACAAAAAUCUUUGGAGGCCAAAUGCUGCUCUAAACUGGCAUUGGUUCUAGCUCGGCUCUUAUAGACCUAUCACAAACUGGCCUCUGGCUCAUCUGAAUUUACAGGUUCGGCCUCCGCUUCUUCUCCUUCUCCUGGCAGAGGGUUAUCAACUGUGCUGCACUCAGAGGAACUUGACCGAUUCAAUCUCUAAAAAGAAAUUCACCACCCCACCAGACAGUUCAUUUAGGGGUCAUUCAAAUCUUAUAUUCAAGCCAUAUUCAAUAAUCAAAGUCAUGCAAAGUGUUAUGAAAAAAGAUUAACAGUAUGAUGGCCAUAAAAACGUAUAAACACAUAUUGAGGUCAGGUAACCUUAUAAUACAUCUAUGCUUGAUCUUUCUAUCUACACAUCCUGUGAAAAAUAAAUUUUAUUAUUUUUAGUAUGUUAACAAGUAAGUAUUUAGACAGAAUUAGCAUAAGGUAUUUUUUGUAAACUAUAAUAUUUGCAAAGUAUUGGCCACAUUUUUAUUGUUUUAUGUUUAAUAUAAAUUUGUGUACACCAAUAAUUAUUAUAUUCAGAUAACCAAGACCCUAGUAGAAAUAAUACAAGUGCCAAAUUGCCAAUGCCUGAUACUUGAAAGAUCAUAUAUGACAGUUGGCAGAAAAGCUUGUUGAUACUUAAAAGUAAAAAAAAAAAAAGAAAUUAGUGUAAAAUGAAACCCAAACUUAUUUGUUCUAUUAUCUCUUGGAUUUAAGAAUAUGUACCAGGAUGAUAUAGAUAGAAGGCUUUUGAUCAAGACAAAAAAAAGUCAGAUAUCAUAUUGGAAUCAAAAUGCCAAAGACCAUAGUAAUUAUUUCAUCCAACACCACCCAUUUCAGUAUAAAAUUUCAGGACAUAGUUGAAAAGAUCAUAAAGUAUUAUUUAUACUGUCAAAAAACAGUGGCUACCAAAGUGAGUACCACAUGCAAACUCUGAAACAAAGAUUCAAUGAAAUUAAACAUGGCAGACGCACACACGACAGGAAUGAAUUCAUUGUCAUUAUGAUCAUAUAGUUGAUCAUAACACAAGCUUUUCCCGCCCAGAAAUUUAUGAUCAAACAUGAUGUUUACAAACAUACACAUACACAGAAAUUUUUAGAAAAAAUACAUACAGCAAUUGUAGCAAAACUCUGUCAAUUUUUCCUAAUAUUGCUUUAUAAGGGGUAGAGCAGCACAUCAAUGGAAGAGUUCAUUUUUCAUUCUCAUUUGCUAAACGACAUGUGAAUAUUGAAACUAGUAGUUAUUACAGCAGAUGCUUCCCUUAUUAAGAUUACAGCUUUACUAUUUUUUUAGAAUAGUUCCACAAAUACAAGUGCUAAAAGGAAAUCCUCAUUUCCAUUAAAUUGAUUCCUUAAUCUAUUAAUUUGCAUUAAUAUCAUAGGCCUAAUCUGAAAUAUUAAUUUUUAGAGAUUUACUGGGAAGCUAAAAGUGUUCUUUAUGGGUACCACAUUCUCAGUGCUAUUAUUAUCACACAUUAUUCAACAUCAGUAAAAAAAGGCAUUGAUACAUUAUUGUACGUAAGGAAUGAUGUAAGCAAAGUUCUUUAUAAUGAGAGUAAAGAAUUAUGAAUACUCUAAUACUCAUAAUCAAUAUAUUGACAUCGGGGCAUUCUUCCCACCAGGUCAAAGAGUUUUAUAAUAGUAUCAGUUACGAACAGUAUCCCUAUGAAAUGUCAUUUGAUUGAAUUCAUCUAAAAUGACUUGAAAAUAAUGGAAAUAGAAAUUAAUUAUAAGACUGAAUAUAUUUAAGGUUUUAAAAUAUACAUUACUCCAAGAAACAAUGGGGAAAUGUAUAAUUACUAAUAGGCCCUACUGUGCCAAUUACCACAAAAACUAAUUUUGAGUAUGUUAUCUAAAAGACUACAGUUAUCUGAUGCCCUCAGUUCUUGACUUCUCAGAUGCAUGUGGACUGUCACCAGGGAACUGAAAGACAACGUACUAUGAUUCUGUGGCGAUGAGACCAAGACCUUCAAAUGUGAAAAAUGGGUUAUUGCCCUGGAUUUUGAGGCAAAGCAGUGGGAGAAACAGCUGACAGAAAGAAUGCAAAGCACUUUCCUGCUAGUAGCCAAAAUACUGACAACUAGCAAGUAGUUUUCAUGGUUUCCUCUAAGGUGGCAACAAUUUUUAACUAAAAUGAUUCUAAUUUGCAGAAUGCCUACUCAGCCUAAAUUAAUGAAAACAUCUUCAACCUCAGUAUUUGGUUUUCUCACUGAGCAUUAACAAAGAGGAUAUGCCAACUUAAUUUGUAAGCAAAUAAAAUGAAGAUGAUUUUAUAAAGUAUAUCUUGUCAUUUCUGAAACCUUUUAUUUUCAUAGCUUUUAUGGCAAUUUUUUGUCAAUUAAAUUCAGAGUUUGGCUCAAAUUUUAUAUCAUAAAUGACAGUUAUUCAAGAUGAUUCCUCAUCAGAACAGACAUUAUCAAAAUAUUUAAUAUGAACUAUCGUUUGUGUCAUAAGCCAAAUUGCUAUGGCUUUUUAGAAAUUCAAGUUAAAAUGUUUUUAGGAAUUCUAUGUUUUCCUGGGGAUGCAUGAAGUAUUCACAAAGUAGCUAUUUUAGUACUGUAUAUAAUAUUAAACAUUUAUGUGCAUGCCCUAGUGAUGUAGACGGUUCAGUUCUAAUCUAUUCAUCCUUUAAAUUUAAUAUUUACUGAAGUGGAAGUUUCUUUAACAGGGUCCAAAAGGAUGCUUUUAAGUAGAAAGGCUAAUAUCUAUAAUAAAAACUUUCUCUUAAAGGGAAGUGCAUUUUAUUCUCAUAGCAGGUGUUGCUAUAUUUAACUACUGAAUUUUCUUAUUGCUUAGUACACAGAGAUCAAGUCAAUCAUUAGAAUCAUUUUACAAAAUAAAUUAUAUGAUUAUUUUCAUAUCUAUAAACUCAAUCAUUUGUAAUUUAGUUUCCUUUCUUGUAACAUUGAAAAUUGAAGAAUUAUUAUAGUACACUAAGACCAGUGAAAUAAAUACUUUGGUGUAAAAAAUUUCCCUCUCAAUAUUACAAAUAUGCUAUUUUGUAAUU